This 1984-nucleotide long non-coding RNA is filed under the name Strigops habroptila (Kakapo). RNAcentral describes it as "lncRNA (ENSSHBG00005015390.1)". The record is from RNAcentral. Lineage: Eukaryota; Metazoa; Chordata; Aves; Psittaciformes; Psittacidae.
UGUGCGAGAGGGGGGGAGAGGCAGGGGAAAACUGCAGAGAGCGAGAAGAAAAGUGCGAUAGAAGCCCAGCCCCGGGGUAUGAAGAGAACGGCUCAUUCAAACCGUGUUUGGCACCGCUCUUCCUUAAGUGAUCGCUGCGAUCAAGCACGCUGUGGAUGUAGAGGGAGAGGCGGGGGGGGUUGGGGGGGGGAAAGAGGGGGAAAUCCCUUUUAGUUUUGCGAUUAGGCUGCCAGGCUUUGAAAAGGGCUUAAAAACAAAGUCAUGCUCAGCUUUUUGUGGUAGAAAUCCAGAUGUUACGUAGAUUUUUUUGUUUGCAUGUUCGUUUUGAGCGGACCAGGCGGUGAGCGCUGCGUUUACGUGUGCGUGUAGCUGGACUUUGCCGUAGAUCGACGUUGCGCUUGUGGAAUGUCUGCUGAAGUAUUAGCUCGGUAAUGCCUUCUAAUGGUAGUGCUAAUUACGGUGGGGUUAUUUAGCAAAUUAAGUGAGCUGAUGCAUCCCCCACCCUAGAGCACCAAAUGAACUUUUCCAAGCACACACUCACACACACACACACACAGAGACACGUUAAUUUUGGUGUUUGUCUCGCCCAAUCGCUUUGCCGGAGCUACCCCAGCCUUACCUCAGAGCAGUCAAUUACUAAAGCUGGCCGGGAUCAUCAAUCAUGGGGGAUGCUUGAAGUUUAGGGGAGGAGCGAUGGUCAAACUAUCGAUUGCUGCAGUUUUGUCCUUCCCAACCCCCCACCCUCGUUCACGGUCCCCUGCACAUAAAAUCUAAACCAGACUAUCCCGUUAAUAGUGGGAUUUAUCAAUGAUUAUGUACCCGGUUGUGAAUACAUAGCUGGCUUUUAAAAUACACGGCAGAAAAAUAUUAUUUAUUCAGUUAGGUUUUGGUUUAGUUUGCUUUGCUUUUCGUGGUGAUGACGAUGAUUGUAAGAUUUUUUUUUUUUUUUUCCUGAAACUUUAAGAAAAUGACCCAAGGGUUAGUUACAGAUAUUUGGCCUGCUUUUAAUAGGCGUAGGGAAUGAGCUCCAGAGGUCAAUAAACCCCUCCAAAAUGAUGAAUGAUUGAGUACCUGUGAUGAUGAUAGUGAUUACCGGAGCAAUUAAACAGUUUGAUUAAAUGAGCCAUCAUAACAAUGAUGUCUGCGGGAAAUCAGCCCUCACAUAUAAAGAAAGAUAGUGUGGAGCGCUGACAAACGCCAGUGGGCAUUCCUGCGUGUUCCGAUAGCGCCGAACCCUGCAGAGCAGAGCAGGGCUGUAUUUGCAAAUAUGGUGGCAAUACGGAGAAAAGUCCCUCUCCUACUUUUAGCCAGAGUUGCGCCCUGCUUAAAACCAGACAGAAGCUGGAGAGCAGACCCGGGUUUGGGGUUUCCUCCCCCCCCUUUUUUUUUUUCCUUUUUUUUUUUUCCAGAGGAUCUCCUCCAAGAUUAAAGCUAGUCCUAAGAGCAACUGAAUUGCUGUGACUGACUUUCAUGGGACUGUAAAGAGAGCUGCCUAUAAAACUCCAGAAGAGGAGCGCUCUCCUUUUUACACUGGAGUUCUCGGUCCGGAGAGAACAAUAUCCUCCUACCUCCUCUGAAAUGAUAAGGAGAACCUCACAACACACAGAUGAAACCCUUCGGGAGGAUUGAGGACCUGAGUGGGGAGACAGCCGAGCCCUAGCCCACCUGCGAGUGCGGAACCCUCACAGAAAGCCGCAACACACAAGCGGGGCUUCGUCCCCCUAGAAAGAAGGAGACAAAAGCAGCAAUAAACGUGUGUGUGAUCCUUUCUUAACGGGUUGAAGCCCAAAAGAAAAAGCAAAUUGGAUGCAGUAUUGGGCAUUUGAUGCCCGUCCGUCCCCGCCCCCCACUUUAUCAGGGUCUGAUUAUUCGCUUUAACUGUAAGCGCUGAUUUGUUAUUAGCUGGGUUCAGGCACCUCUCUAAUUUUCUCCGAGAGCCCAUUUGAAGGGUAGAAAAACUGAGGAAUAAAUAAAUGCAUUUACA